GCCUCGGUAGCUCAGCCUGGUCAGAGCGAGUGCCUUGUAAGCACUAGGUCGCGGGUUCAAAUCCCGCCCGAGGCU
RNAcentral lists this transfer RNA (75 nucleotides) under archaeon HR04. It matches the Rfam family "tRNA". From Rfam's summary of the family: Transfer RNA (tRNA) molecules are approximately 80 nucleotides in length. Their secondary structure includes four short double-helical elements and three loops (D, anti-codon, and T loops). The record is from Rfam by way of RNAcentral. RNAcentral also lists the same sequence under 5 other names.